Molecule: ribosomal RNA, 388 nt
Filed under: uncultured bacterium
Lineage: Bacteria
Description: bacterial SSU rRNA
Rfam family: Bacterial small subunit ribosomal RNA
Source: RNAcentral
AUUGAACGCUGGCGGCAUGCCUUACACAUGCAAGUCGAACGGUAGAGUAGCAAUACUUGAGAGUGGCGAACGGGUGAGUAAUAUAUCGGAACGUGCCCAGUCGUGGGGGAUAACGUAGCGAAAGCUACGCUAAUACCGCAUACGAUCUAUGGAUGAAAGCGGGGGAUCGCAAGACCUCGCGUGAUUGGAGCGGCCGAUAUCAGAUUAGGUAGUUGGUGAGGUAAAGGCUCACCAAGCCGACGAUCUGUAGCUGGUCUGAGAGGACGACCAGCCACACUGGGACUGAGACACGGCCCAGACUCCUACGGGAGGCAGCAGUGGGGGAAUUUUUGGGACAAUGGGCGCAAGCCUGAUCCAGCAAUGCCGCGUGCAGGAUGAAGGCCUUCGG